GUGGAUUAGUGGCGAACGGGUGAGUAACACGUGGGCAAUCUGCCCUUCACUCUGGGACAAGCCCUGGAAACGGGGUCUAAUACCGGAUAACACUCUGUCCCGCAUGGGACGGGGUUGAAAGCUCCGGCGGUGAAGGAUGAGCCCGCGGCCUAUCAGCUUGUUGGUGGGGUGAUGGCCUACCAAGGCGACGACGGGUAGCCGGCCUGAGAGGGCGACCGGCCACACUGGGACUGAGACACGGCCCAGACUCAUACGGGAGGCAGCAGUGGGGAAUAUUGCACAAUGGGCGAAAGCCUGAUGCAGCGACGCCGCGUGAGGGAUGACGGCCUUCGGGUUGUAAACCUCUUUCAGCAGGGAAGAAGCGAGAGUGACGGUACCUGCAGAAGAAGCGCCGGCUAACUACGUGCCAGCAGCCGCGGUAAUACGUAGGGCGCAAGCGUUGUCCGGAAUUAUUGGGCGUAAAGAGCUCGUAGGCGGCUUGUUGCGUCGGUUGUGAAAGCCCGGGGCUUAACCCCGGGUCUGCAGUCGAUACGGGCAGGCUAGAGUGUGGUAGGGGAGAUCGGAAUUCCUGGUGUAGCGGUGAAAUGCGCAGAUAUCAGGAGGAACACCGGUGGCGAAGGCGGAUCUCUGGGCCAUUACUGACGCUGAGGAGCGAAAGCGUGGGGAGCG
RNAcentral lists this ribosomal RNA (669 nucleotides) under Streptomyces sp. 343(2010). RNAcentral's name for it is "bacterial SSU rRNA". It matches the Rfam family "Bacterial small subunit ribosomal RNA", at positions 87 to 770 of the family's 1533-position model. The record is from RNAcentral. Lineage: Bacteria; Bacillati; Actinomycetota; Actinomycetes; Kitasatosporales; Streptomycetaceae.